UAAAAAAAAAAAAAAAAAGCAAUGUGGUUGGAAUUGGGGGUGGGGAAAGGGUAAAAAUUGAAAAUUAUGAAUAAGAAAUCAUAAUCAUUAAGGGCUGCAAUCUUGGUUGAGGCUAGUUGAUUCUUGCCAAAAUCUGGCUGGCAGCCCUUGUUGGGGAAUUGGAAAUGGACCAUAAUGAAUUCCAUCUACUGUUCCCAACACUUCCCACCUGGCAACGCUAAAAGAACAAGUCAAAAACCAUUGAGCCCACAAAAUCAUUUUCUUUACACAAGUGAUAUCAUUUAGAGUUAUUACCUUAUAUGGAAAAACACAAAGCCUUAUACACGAACAAAUUACAUUUGUGCAACUCAAGAUAAUUUAAUUAAUUUUUUUAUUUUUAAAUUUAUUGUUAAUUAAAAGUUUAACCUUUGAAUUUAUUUAUUACUGAUAAUAUUCAUUACAUGAACAAUGAAAAUUACUAAAAGAGUUAAUUAUAUUUCAUUAUUUUAUUUAUCAAUGAUUAUUUAAUUUAUUAAAAUUUUAAAAUAACAAUAACAAAAUAUUGAAAAUUU
Molecule: unclassified non-coding RNA, 551 nt
Filed under: Hevea brasiliensis (rubber tree)
Lineage: Eukaryota; Viridiplantae; Streptophyta; Magnoliopsida; Malpighiales; Euphorbiaceae
Source: RNAcentral